Molecule: long non-coding RNA, 5629 nt
Organism: Cornus florida
Lineage: Eukaryota; Viridiplantae; Streptophyta; Magnoliopsida; Cornales; Cornaceae
Exons: 4
Source: RefSeq, a predicted model, not a curated record
UAUCCUAUCCAGUCAUGCUUUGUUUACUAGUUGAAAUUUUAAUAGGUAGGAGUGACUGAAAUUUUUGUCACAAAGCCUUUGUGGAGUUCUUACUUGCUACGUUGGCACCAUGUAUUUGCAGUACCUUAGCAGCCUCUGUAACCAUGCCAUUGGACUUCAGUAUGGCGGUAUGGCUAUGUUUUUGUACAAUUAGAGGACCAUAAAGCACGUUUGGAGAAGUUACUCACAUUUUCAUUUUCAUUUUUAGUCCUCGGUUUGUUCCUUGUCAUGAUAGGUAGAUGUUUAUAAUUACAGGCGCUUCGCUUUUGUUCUCGAGUGGAUGGGAAAGCAUUCUCCAGGUAUUUUUGUUCUAAUAACUUCCAACUUAAGCUGUUAUUGCAAUUCAAGAAUUCUACUGGACUGCUCCGAGAAUAACAUUGUUAGUGUUUGAGGCUACUAAUUUUUGACCCAGAACACAGAGUCACUCGUCCUCUUUCGAUCAUAAAAAUUGCCAAGCUGUACCGAGGUGAAAUUCCAAACAAUAAUGCCAGUCUACUCUUGCUGCACUUUUGUUCAAAAGAUCCAUUAAAUCAUUACGUGCUUUGUGCACACAUGAUAUGGUAGGUCAGACUUGCAAAGGUGCGAGACACUGACAGGCUGCCACACUGGCGAGCUACGGGUGCACAAUCCCACAUCGCCUGGGAAAGGAAAAGGUGAAGUGCUUAUAUGUAGGUGUGUCACUAUAAUUGGUAUGAGGCCUUUUGGGUUGAAGCACAAGAGCAAAACCGUGCGUGUUCAGGCCCAAAGCGGAUAAUAUCAUAGCAUGUGGUGGAGUGGGUCAUUACAAAUGGUAUCAGGGCCUGACCCAGCCAGAAGUGUGGUAAAGUGCUUAUAUGUAGGUAUGUCACUCCAAUUGGUAUGAGGCAUUUUGGGUAAAGCCCAAGAGCAAAACCAUGCGGGCUCAGGCCUAAAGCGGACAAUAUCAUACCAUGUGGUGGAUUUUAUUCCUGUUUUUCGCUUUAUGUUGUCAAUUUAAUAACAUCAAUGUGCUAUACAUUGAAGGAAACACCCUUAGGUCCUAAAGCAUUUAUCUUAUUAUUGUGUGUUCUCCUUUCAAACAACAAACUCAAGCUCUCACAGUAUGUUGAUUCAAUAAAAUUAUAAAACUAAUUAAUAUGAUCAGAGUUCAUACAAUAUUCACACGUGUUUCUUUUAGUCAUAAUAUAUGUAACCCGGAUGUCUAAAAUCAUCAUUUUGUUCAACUUCUCUCCGUGGUCAAAUCAUAAAUCACUUGAUUCAGCCACUAGGGCUUGCAUCCAUGACACACAAAUCCUAAAUUGCUACAUCUAUUUCAUUAUAUUCUCUCUUGAUUUUGUUUACAAUUACCACCUUUAUUUAUAGGUGAAUUGGGGAAGACUUGUAAUAAAGGAAUUACACAGAAAGUUAAAUAUAAACAUGGAAAGAACUUGUUGCCCAAGUAUAGCAACAUUAACAUUCUGUCAAUGGCUUAAAUCACUCAUAUAAUUAUUCUCCAACACCCCCUUAAGUUAGUACACGGAGAUUUAACUCAAGUGUCCAACUUGAAAUUAAAUAUGAAGUUGUCGAAAUUCUGAAAUGAGUAAAUCUGCGAUGAGUUGAUCCGGAGGUCCGAGACAAAUUGAUCCGAAGAUCCGAGACGAGUUGAUCCAAGAUCCGUGACGAGUAGAGUAUAAAGUAGGGUAUGAUAAACCUACUCUGAUACCAUGUUGAAAUUGAAGAGAGAUAUACAAAAUGAAGAACACAAAGAUAUAACGUUGUUCAACCACUAGAGCUUACAUCCACGACACACAAAUCCCAAAUGGCUACAUCUCUUUCAUUACAUUCUCUCUCGAUUUUGUUUACAAUAACCACCUCUAUUUAUAGGUGAAUUGGGGAAGAUUUGUAAUAAAGGAAUUACACAAAAAGUCAAGUAUAAAUAUGGAAACAGCUUGUUACCCAAGUAUAGCAACAUUAACAUUCUUAAAUCACUCCUAUAAUUAUUCUCCAACAACUUGGCUAUUAGGAAUGACUCCAAUCCUGAGGAAGAAGAGGAGGUCCGUAGAGAAAAUGCAUGGGUGUGCCAGUGAAACAUGAAGCAAUCUAUGCAAUGUCAAUACCAUGAUAGGAUUGCUAUAUUAUAACAUAUUCUAUGCAGAUUUGUUUACAUUGAUAAAAUACAUGGUUUCUUUUUGCUUUGUGAGAACCUCUAACUUCCUUUCCAGCAAAUUUUAACCUUCGUUAUUGGCAUGUUACGACAUUGGCUCUGUGGUUGCAAGGUUUUUAUACUAAUGCUUUUUUUCUCUAUGGUAGUAGUCUUGUUGUUCUUCUCUCAAAAAAGAAAUAUAGUGCUGGAAAGCUGAGCACUGGGGUUUGGGAAUUAUUGUAGAGAACCACCAAAAAUGCCAUGGCCUCAGUCGGGAAGGGUUGGAGCUGAUUUCCAAUCACCCGGGAGUUACAAGUGGUAGGAUCUGAACCAGCAAUUUAUGAAACUCAUAGUAUCUAUUUGAGCUUUGAGCCAAACAUUCAAGUACCCAAAAUCACACAGAAGAGUGGACCAACAUUCAAUUGUUGUAGUUCGCCGUGCCUAUGCAACCAUUUCACCAAAGGGUAUGUUUGGCAGCACCGAAUUGGAGCUUGGAAUUGGUGGUAUUGGAAGCUCCAAAAUCUGCUGUUUGGAUGUUACACACUAAGACCGAUUUGGAAUCGGGUUAUAAUCCCAAAUAUCUCAAUUACAUUAUUUGAAUCCCAUGGGUUGAGUUGAGAAUCGGAACACCAAAUCAACGUGGGAUUGAUUCACCAGAUCGAAACGUCCGGCUCUGGCUUCUAUCGCUCCAUCUACCAACCUAGCUCUAGAUUGUUCAUCUCUAACCCUAUCUCUUCCAUCCCAAUCUGUCUUCAAAAGCAAACUCCAGAUUGUUCUGUCUCUAUACACUUGAUCUGCCUUCAAAAUCUAACUCCAAAUUGUUCAUCUCGAAUGAUCUGCCUUCAAAACCUAACUCCAAAUUGUUCAUCUCGAACCCAGUUCAUCAAUCAUAUGUUUCGAUCCCUAGCUCAAGAUCAACACACAAAUCGUGCAGUUGAAGAUAAAGAUCGCCAUUAGUAGUAAAGUAUAUGUAACAGUUCAUUUCCUCCAAUGGCCUCAGAGCAAAUCCAAUGCAGAGUUCCAGCAAAUUUUUAGACUGUCUUUUUCUCAAGAUGAACAAACGGAUACCAAGUAAUAUAGAGAACCAAAUUCACGAAAAAUCUCUCUAUCGCAACUUUUCUCUUCAGUUACACUUAAGCGGUCGAGGUCUUCAUUCGUCAUAUAAAAUACACCAAAACUGUUCUAGUGGCUUUGUGAUUGAGGUUAGUAUCUAGUGAUCUAUCAUUUUUCAUGGUGAAAGAUUGAACAAAAUUAUGAUUGAUUUAUUGGCUUUGUGAUUGAGGCUAGUACCAUUUUUAUGUUGUGGUUAUCUGAGCUUUUUAGAGAUAUUGUUACUGGGUGAAGCUGGAGAUUGAUGUGGGACUUGUUUUGCAGCAAUCAUGGUUUAUGCUUUAGAGACCAUGUAGAAAGAGUAUUCCUAUAUAAUUCUUCUCUCAUCUAGUUCCAAUUAUGUUUACUCUUGUAUGUGAUGUUCUGUUUGUUUGCAUACACUUUACCAUUAAUUGCAGUGCACUUUGCACUUCCUUGAAUAAAUGUUGCUAUGUCACCACCAGUUGUGUUCUUAUUAGUUUGCGAAUUGCAAAAGUUGGACAAAAGAAAUUCAAUAAACCCAAUUUGACUUCUGAAGUUUCCUUAUCCUUUUUUGAGAAUUAAUGUUUAGAGGCACAUCCCACCAUUAAAUCCGUGUACUAGUUCAGGGGCUAUAAUUGCAGUUAGACAAGCUUGAUAAAUCCCUAAACAGGUUUUAGAAACCCCAACGGUAAAAGGACUGGUUGGCUGAAAAUCAGUCCAUACUAAAAUUUUAGGCCACGACUGAUGCUUUAGAUCACACUUUGUUUUCCAUUUUUCUUUCUUUCUUUUUUAUCAUAUAAUAAGAGUUAAGAGUGAAGAGCAGGUGUUGGAUGUGCUCGAGCAUAUGUGCCUUGUAAAGGAAAAUUGAGCUAAUGCCUCCCUUUUUCAGAGAAUUCAUUCUGCCAUCUCAUCAGUUUAUUAUCCACUUACAAUUUUGUUGCUUUAUUAUCUAUUAGAACUAAUGCAUUUUACAAAUUACAAUCUAUGAGGUUGCAAUUGAAAAUUAUAGAAGUAUUUCAUUUCCAAAGGUCAUUGCUCAGUGCAAUGAAAAAAAUUCUGGUUAUCAAGCUUGAGUGUGAGUAACAGUAUGAGACAGCUAUUUUAUACAAAAAUAUUGUCAAAGCUCAGUAUAUCUCUUUAUCUUUCUUUCAGCAUUAGAUGAUGGUCCUUUUUUUCUAUUUCUUCUCAACAGCUGCUUGGUAAAUUUAGUUAGUUUAGUUGGUGAAGUCUCUGCCUAGUUGUAUCAAAUAUUUUGGUUAAUUCCUGCAUAAGUGAUUCAUGAAUAAGAAUACUAUAUAAAUUGGGAAAAUUAUAUUUUAUUUACCAAAAUUUAAAAUAAUUACAGCACACUGAUCAGUCUUUCUCAUAAUAUUCUUUCCUUCAUAGUCCCUAUAAAAAUUCCUAUCCCUUUACCAAAAUCAGUUUAAUUAUUACUACAUGUUUGUAUAGAAAUGGAAAACCUCAACAUAUGACUUUAAUGUUUACUCAAUAAUAAACAUUAGUAGUUGUAAUAAUAAUAGUUAUAAUGAUGGUUUACUCUUGUCUGACGGAUGAGAUUCAAUAAAACUGUUUAUGUAUGUAAAAUUAGCCUUUUAAGUCAUCAACCAUUAUGUUUCUGUGCUGUCCAUAAAGUUUUAUAUAUCUUCAACAGAGCAACAAAGGCCUAUAGGGACUUGAGGAGUCAUUCAGAUCAUAAGCAGGUGGUGUCUUUGCCCAAAUACUUAGAAUUUGGUAUAUUAUUCUUUUCCCAUUACAUGAAUUUUUUUUAUUUAAUUAGGUGUUAUUGAUGUUUGGGGUGUUUUGUAAUUAGAAAAAUGUUUGCAUUCUCAUCUACAUAAUAGAUAAAUAUUGAUAGCUGUUAAUCUUGUCGUGACAAAAUUAUCCAUCUAUCUAUACUUAUGACAACAUGAAGAGGAAGGACUUUUAUGCAAGAAAGUAUUGUUAAAAGAGUCAUUUCUUCAUCUUCUUGAAGACAUCACAAAGUUGUGGUAUUUUCAGCUCCUGCAUGUGGUUGUUAUGGGUUGUUUAUGAACUCCAAAGUUCUUUGUGACCCAUGAACAACCCAUUCAAUAACUCAAGCUUUUUUAAUUGAAUUUUAGUUUCCAUCUAUCUGCUUAUGUGUACAGUUAAUUUUUUCCUCAAAUAGAAUUGUUUAAUGUACCUUAGUUGAUCCAUUGUGCUUACAUUCAGAUGCCUAUGCUGAGUUGCCCUACUUUUUCAUUUCAAUUCUAUGUACAGUUACUGCAUUCUCUAGAAAUGUUCGGCUUGUGUGAUAUUUUACUAAACAAGUUCAAAACUUCUUUGCUACUUACAACAUUGACUUAAAAAUAUUCCCAUUGAUGAUUUCAGUUGUGGUGUUUCCUGACAAAUUUAUUGCCCUUUUGCUUUAGUUGUGAAUGUGAAACUGAGGUCCUGUCA